CCUACGGGUGGCAGCAGUGGGGGAUAUUGCACAAUGGGGGGAACCCUGAUGCAGCGACGCCGCGUGGGUGAAGAAGCGCCUCGGCGCGUAAAGCCCUGUCAGCAGGGAAGAAAAUGACGGUACCUGAAGAAGAAGCCCUGGCUAACUACGUGACAGCAGCCGUGGUAAUACGGAGGGGGCAAGCGUUAUCCGGAUUUACUGGGUGUUAAGGGGGCGCAGACGGGGUUGCAAGCCAGGAGUGAAAGGCCGGGGCCCAACCCCGGGACUGCUCGUGAAACUGGGUGGCUGGAGUGCAGGGGGGGCAGGCGGAAUUCGUGGUGUAGCGGUGAAAUGCGUAGAUAUCAGGAGGAACACCGAUGGCGAAGGCAGCCUGCUGAACUGCAACUGACAUUGAGGCCCGAAAGCGUGGGGAGCAAACAGGAUUAGAUACCCGAGUAGUC
RNAcentral lists this ribosomal RNA (440 nucleotides) under uncultured bacterium. RNAcentral's name for it is "partial 16S ribosomal RNA". It matches the Rfam family "Bacterial small subunit ribosomal RNA", at positions 338 to 795 of the family's 1533-position model. The record is from RNAcentral.